This is a long non-coding RNA of Syngnathus typhle (broad-nosed pipefish), 4773 nucleotides long. RefSeq lists it as uncharacterized. The transcript has 2 exons. The record is from RefSeq and is a predicted model, not a curated record. Lineage: Eukaryota; Metazoa; Chordata; Actinopteri; Syngnathiformes; Syngnathidae.
AACGCCCCACGAGACUUUUACGAUUAAUUGCUGUAUAAAUAAAUAGGACUUGACUAAUUGACUCGGUUAGAAGUUACCAGAUCCUGACGUUCAAUAUUGAUUUGAUUGCACUUGCGCCGUGCUUGCAUUCUAUUUAAAUACGCAACAUGAGCAUGCGACAAAAGAAAGUUACUUGUCGUACAGUUAAAUAGGCUUUGAGCAAAUGUAUGGUAUGUAAUGCUAGAUAAAAAAAACAAGCAAAAAAAACCCACUUUAAUUAAUUAUCCCCAGAUUUAGUAUGUUAUCAUUAAUUUUGGAAUUUCACAAACGAUUUUAGGAAUUGAUUAACCAAAAUGCUGCAGUGCACAGGCCCUGGAUCAACUCCAUCCAUCCAGAGGUUUCUAUGUCAUACGCACUUUUUAUUCCCGACGUAAACAAAGCUUUCUGGGUGUAGUUUGCUUAACGAACACCAAGGGGCGCUGUUUGCUUCAAAUCGUUUACCAAGCCCAAAUUUGCAUGAAGGGAAUCGGAUCCUUUUAUUUGUUUGAGCGCACCGACAUUUAACACUGGGCAUCAGUUUUAAAAAGAAAUGCACGUGACGUCAUAGCUCAAUAAUGACGACAUAACACAGUAAAAACACAACAAAAGAAGCUAUUGUAUUAUUAAAGCUAAACAGCAAAAGAAGGGAUAGGAAUAGUAAUCUGACUUUAUUUUUAUAGCGCUUUCGCCAUAACAAAGCGCUUCAUAAGAACAUAAGAUGUAAAAAUACAGUAGAAAUAUCACAUAAACAUCAUAUGGACUUUAUAACCAUCAUACAUAUGCGUUGUUGCUUGAGAAGGUAAAUAUGUAGGAUGAUAACAACAAGACAAGCUUGUCACUAUGACAUUCUCUCAACAUUCAACAUUUAAAGUUAGCAGUAGUUGCUGACAUUAAAAUAAAAACACCAGAAUUUACAAGUGCGUCAGAACCUGCCAUUGUUUCUGGACAAGGGUCAUUUUGGCUAGUUCAAGACUUUGAGGCCGCAAUUUGCUGAGCUUUGAGGAAGUGAAGUGUUGAAAUCCACCGCGCACUGUUUGAAAUGUUUUGGAAUAAUAACAGGUUUUCCUCUGGAAUCUGCAAAGGGAGGGGGGGGGGGGGGUGUCACUAAUACUUGUUGUUUUCAUUGACAGUGUUCAUAUUUGGGACAGGAGCCGGUGAAAGCAGAUGAGACGAGGUUUGAAUUUAACACAGGAUGAGGAGCCCACGGUCAUGGAGUUUUCCACCUGGAGUGGACGUUGUGGUUUCGGCCAGAUGAGGCUUCCUCAUCUUCCUUCUCCUUGGUAGUUGUGAUGUGUUCUUCCCGUCACCAGCUACUAAAUGUGCCUGCAUGUGUGUUUGUGCGUGCUGUGUAGCUCCAGCGAGCCGGCAACACGAGUUUUAACAUGGAUGCUGAAGAUGUACCACAAUUGUUUUGAUAGGAUGCGGCUCCAGCUGAAAUCGGGCCGACCCGAGGGUUAAACGGCACGCUCUUCUGGAAGCUACAAUGGUCGAGCACGGAUGUUUGAUCGAGAACUGUGGGAGCAUGGCUUUUUUUUUUUUUUGCCACACGAUCUGGAAGGUGACUACAGUCACAUCUGAUCUCGUACGGCCUCAGGUGACGCCAUGUUUGUUCACGCCUUCGUCGCGUGGGUGUGUCUGACAAGAAGGACAAAGUUGGUAGCGCUCGAGUGGAGAGGCGGAGGGAGUCAAGCACGGAUGAAAAACCGGUCGAGGUCCCGCUCUGCAAUUAGAUAACAGAUUGGCGUCUGUGGUCAUGUGACAUGUUUUCACCUCGCAGGGCUGCUGGGAUUUGCUCAAAUUCUUUCUAAGACGCAUUUGUUCCUGCGUAGUUCGACGAGGCGGCGGUGGUGACGCAGUUCUUUCUGGGCUGGACUUCUCGUCACCUUGUUUGGCUCGCUCCCACUUCCUCUCUCUGUCUGUCUCUCUCUCUCUCUUUCUCUCUCUCUCGCUGUAUCAUGGAGAGGAGCAGUGGGAGGGGCUAAAUGUCACAUCUCAGGAUGAGGGAGAGAAAGCGCUGGAGCUAAAGGGAGAAGGCAAGGGAAGCUGUUAACCCUGCUGUCCUGUUGAUUCUGCUUUGGUUUCACUCCCGUUCAAUUCCUAAAAUCGUGGCCGCAUCACACGCCGCGGUGCAAAACGGCGCUCUUGUUGGAUCCGAGUCGCCAUGCUGGCUUUCCGAGGUGCGUAGCGCAGCACAAUUGGGUGGCUGAUGGAGUUCAGCCAUCGAUUGAUCUAGAAUCACUUCUUUCAGUGAAAGGUUUUGAACUUUGAGAGACGCCUGGAGUCCAGGGGCGUAGUCAGAGAAUUUUUCUCUAGGGUGGCCUGAGUGGCCAUACCGUUUGCAUUUUUAUAACCACCUUUGGAACAGAAAAGUCGGGAGCAUACCAUCCACAGGAAAGGUCUCAUCAAGUGCCCACGUAUGCAGAAUCUUGCCCAACAUGCUCAUAAUACAAGCAGAGACAAAAGCAACAUUUUGCUGGCAUUCAUUUAUUGAAUAAUGCCAUUUUCUUUGCCACUGCUGUACUUAUAGUCUACCUUAUCUCAUACACUGAUUCGCUCGUCAUUUGUCACUGAUGGCCGACAACAUUUUGCAUACUACAGUUAACGUCUCAUUCAUUCAAAUCAUGUCUAGGAAGCACAAUGACUUAAAUAUUCACAAUUGUAAACAUUGCUUUGAACUCUGGUCUGUUUUUGCUUGUAUUACAAGUAUCUUGCAUUAUUUGAUCCAUCUGUGAAUUGUAUUUCAGUAUGUCAAAAGCUUCUACUGGAUGUGAUGCUGGCCCUGGCCACCAUGUAGCUCCGCCCUGCUAAUUUAUGAUACUACAUUUGAAACCUAUUGUCUUUCAGUUUCCUUGUAUCCUUGUUUAAGUCCUGACUUGAAUGAGAUCGAGGCAGCUGAGUUGUGUUUGCAAAGUCAUUGUGGUCAUACGUAACUAGAAGGGCGUAAAGUAGAGUCGACUCUCAACUUUGACUUUGAACUAGGUACGCAUUUGUAUAAACUGGAUUCUGCCUUUGCCACGGUCCCAUUUUGACCGCCGGCCUCACUACGAAGGCCUGCUGUCUCUUUAAAUGUUUUAUAAGCGUUACACAACAGGUCCAGUCGCACACAAACAUCAAGCAGGCACAACGGAGCGUGAUAGUCGUGUACAGUCAGCCAGGCGAAGAAGCCGGUCACAUAUACAUUGUUAUCUGUGCGGCAAUUAUGUAAACACGCAUAAUAUAGUGUAUAUGACCUCGCAAACAAGUCAAAAAGAAAAAGGCUUGGCCUGUUACAUCUGAUGCGUGAUAAGUACCCUUUUGACUUUCAUCUUACUGUGAAAAUAAAUAGCCGAUGUUUUUAGGUUGACUUGCUUUACUUCCUUUGUUUGACUUUGAGCGGUGUUUAAACCGAGAGCUAUUUGAGGGAGUCGUCGCUCAACGCACACAAAAUAGACAGUGCUUGUAGGCGUGUUUUCAGAAGGGAUUGUUUAUCAGUAGUCCUUUUAGAAAGAGGUGAGUUGAUUAACAUUUUGAAGCCACUCGGUGUGCUGACGAUACCUGGGCUGGUCCCCCCCUUCUCUCACUAUGUUAUUGAGUGUGCAUCAUGGCUCCUGUUGCCAACAUUGAUUUGUACUUCCUUGUGAUCGCAGAGACUGGAAAGCUUCGCUCAUUCAUCUUGUUGAUUUGCCUUCUUGAUCAUCCUACGCCCCUCUGCUCUAACUUUUUAUCCUGCUCUGUCGCAAUUCUGGUAAAGUUGACUCCCAUCGCAAAUAGAUGGAAUCACACAGACUACCCCCCCCCCCCUAAAAUGUCAGUUUCUAUUUUAGAUCAAAACAUAAUCAGGUUCAGAAUUCCAUCUUUUAUUUUUAACAUUUCAAUUUGUAAAUAGUAGCUGGAAUUUUGAAAUUAUACAAAUAAAACAAAGGGAUUUACCUUGCCGUUCCAAUACUUUUGGGCCGGACUGAAGAGUUAGAUCAUGGUAUUAUUACAUUUCUUGCCACUAGUGUCCAUCUGCAGCUCCCAUUUAAAUAUGUCUGUUGAGAAAACAGCCAAAGGUGGUUAACCAAAAGCUUCAAAGUUGCACUUUCUGGUGCCUGUGGGAAUUUAUUUGGUUUACAAAGACCACCUCCCACUCAGAGGUUUGCUAGUUUGCUCUUUAAGUGUGUCUGAUAAAGCAAAUCACGAAUCUUUUUUGUAUUAGUUGGCUAUUUUGUCAUUGUUGUAAUUCUUCAAGGUUCAAGAGUGACUGUUUUUACCACAUUCUAGGAUGUUUCUUGUCUGAAAUUCCCCCCUUGGAAGCUGGCUUCAGAUGGUGGCUUAGAGUAUUGUCAUCUAUCUAGCACCAUUUGAAAUCAGUGUUCUUGGGGUGGGAGGUGAGUCACCUGCCAGUAAAAGUCAGCAGUGCCGGGAAAAGUUCCACUCAAUCAGCAUCAAGUGGCCAGUGAUGUUUUGGCAGCCGGAGCCCUUUGUCCUUUUUCCAAGGUUGACCGGUUUCUUCUGGUGCUCAGAGUCUGCUCUUGUUUCUAGCACCAUUUGAAAUCGGUUACAGUGAAGGACGCAUCUCGUCGCACCUUGAACCAAUGGAAACGUCAACAUUACUCUGAUAACUGAUUCAGACCAAGUUAGACUUCAUCCACACACAUUUGAUGACGUGGACUUCAAUAUGAUUGAAAACUGGAUUCAGCAGUUUUAAUAUUCAUUUAACACAAAAAUGUCUGCUAUUCAUACAAUCAAUUUGAACUAAUGUGUAAACAGUAAUAAAAUUAUGUUUGCCAGUGA